UCAGCAAUCAUCUGCUUUCCUUGACAGUAAGUACCUUGAAUGUUGGUUAAUGCAUCAUGAUCCUCCUUCAUUUCAUUCUCCCCAUGAUCUGAGGUACUCACUGUCAAAUCAGUUUUCUCCUUCACAUCUAAUCUAUUCUUCACACGACCAACUCUACCCCAUACAGAUGAACCUGUAUUUUGUGAACCAACAGGUUUCCCAGUGAUUCUAAUUGCACGUUCAUUGUCAGUAGUAUCAUCCAACAUGACAUUAUGACGGUCAGAAGCAUCAACACUCAUGAAGGAUUCAGUUUCAUCAUUUUUGGAUGGAUGUAGUGCUAAGAGUGCACUUGAUGUUUCAG
This 340-nucleotide unclassified non-coding RNA is filed under the name Hevea brasiliensis (rubber tree). Lineage: Eukaryota; Viridiplantae; Streptophyta; Magnoliopsida; Malpighiales; Euphorbiaceae. The record is from RNAcentral.